AACGCGAAGAACCUUACCAAGUCUUGACAUCCCCCUGACCGGCGCGUAAUGGUGCCUUUCCUUCGGGACAGGGGAGACAGGUGGUGCAUGGUUGUCGUCAGCUCGUGUCGUGAGAUGUUGGGUUAAGUCCCGCAACGAGCGCAACCCUUACCCUUAGUAGCCAGCAAUUCGGAUGGGCACUCUAGGGGGACUGCCAGGGAGAACCUGGAGGAAGGUGGGGAUGACGUCAAAUCAUCAUGCCCCUUAUGACUUGGGCUACGCACGUGCUACAAUGGCGUAAACAGAGGGAAGCGAAGGGGUGACUUGGAGCAAAUCCCAAAAAUAACGUCUCAGUUCGGAUUGUAGUCUGCAACUCGACUACAUGAAGCUGGAAUCGCUAGUAAUCGCAAAUCAGAAUGUUGCGGUGAAUACGUUCCCGGGUCUUGUACACACCG
This 434-nucleotide ribosomal RNA is filed under the name uncultured bacterium. Its description in RNAcentral is "bacterial SSU rRNA". It matches the Rfam family "Bacterial small subunit ribosomal RNA", at positions 958 to 1392 of the family's 1533-position model. The record is from RNAcentral.